Astatotilapia calliptera (eastern happy) is the source of this 2397-nucleotide long non-coding RNA. The record is from Ensembl. NCBI's taxonomy places the organism in Eukaryota, Metazoa, Chordata, Actinopteri, Cichliformes, Cichlidae.
CACGUGUCUGUCUGAAUGCCACGAAGCGGCGAGCAGACGUAAACCUCACGCCUUUAUUUUGAAGGAGGACGAGACAAUAAGAUGUCGGGUUCACAGGUGAGUCUGGCAGCAGGACACCUGCUACGCCUUCUUCAAAAGCAGUGGUGCUGAAGCUCGGGUGGGACCGGGGUCUGUCACGUUACAGUGGGAUCCCAACUCGUCUCCCUCUUCCCUCCAUCUGUCACGCCCCAAUCCUCACCCCCCACCUCUACACCCAAUCUUUUGUCUGUUUUGGGGGUUUGGUAACUCACUUUGGUGAUUUUUGGGGGGUAUUUUUGGAGGAGGCGGGGGGCUAAACAUAUCUGCGAGGACGUAAGCGUGUUGGAUGCUUUGAGAGCGUUUCUGGAAUUCCCUCAAAGGCACAUUUCAAAAUGGCAGCCAUUGCAUGAACUCAGGGAGGAGUCUGGAUGUGGACAUCGAAGAUUUAAAGACUGGCAACCUUCAGCUCUGAGGUCUGGACGACAUCUGGGCAGAAUAUUUGGACAUCUCAUGCUGAUAGAGGAGAUCUCUAAUCAGAAAGGCAGAGACACCAGGAGACGCCGGUCUCGCUGGAUUCAGCGUGGAGACAAAGAGGCAACGGGCUGGCUGCGCCUCACCUCGGCCUUUAGGAGCCCUGCAUGCAGCUCUCAGGGGACGUGAUGGGAACUGGUACCGGCAGUAAACAUUGUUGUUCUUGUGCUUUUUUUGGCAGACAUGCUUUCUAAGAAAUGGAUAAUGUAAUUGAAAGGCUGGAUUUGAGCUAGAACCAUGAUCUAAUCUGAGAAACCUAACCAAAGCCAACCUGCAACUACAAACCAGUGGAUGUUUCCUAAACAGCAGCAGUGUGGACACAGCGUGCUGGAAGUAGGUGCUGUUACUAGCAAACUACACACAAGUAUAGCAGUGACCAACUCUAAAGUCCUUUAGACACUGGACACAUGUCAUCAUCAGCAUGCUUCUUAGUUCAGGGAUAUAAUCAGCUGUUCAUGAGCACAUGGACGGCUGAUCAGUACCAAGACUGUGCUCUUACAUAUGGAAAGCUGAACUCAUCUACCCAACUAACCGAAUAUUCAGCUGCUUUGUGCUAAUGCUGCUCCUCCAGAUGCCAAAGUUAGCUCCACUUUGCUGCCUACUUGCACAGAAGAGGUCUGAAGUGACGCUUUUAAUAUUUAAAUAGCUGUACCUGCAGCUCUGACACACCACACAUUACAUAAUGUGCAUAACCUUCUGUGGAUUUACGAUCACAGAUGUCCCAUGUUGUACGUGUCACCACUGAGUGCUGAUGAAUGUGAAUCCUCUCAUGCAAAGAUGGUUUUAAAAGUCUGAGUUAGUUAAAUGAAGUAAUGGCCAAACCCACAGCAUAUGUGACCCACAGAGGAUAGUAACCACUCAGGUAACUGAGCUUUGAGCAGGUCUAUUUCCUGGUACUUUACACUAUAGCUGUCAAUAAACAUCUGCAUUUCACAUAAAACUGUACUUGACAUUAUUACUACAAUUGAAUUUUGCUUUUUUAUUUUAUGUAUUUUUAGACACAGCUUAAUGGGAGUAUGUAUAUGUAUUUUACAUUAUGUGAGUUUUUAUUGUCUUUGAUUCAUUUUCUAUAUGUAUUUCUUUUUUAUUUGUUUAUUUUCUAUGUACUGUAUUUUCCGCGCUAUAAGGUGAACUUGAAAGCCUUUAAUUCUCUCACAAAUCGACAGUGUACCUUAUACAUAUGAGCUUGUGUACCUUAUAAUCCGGUGCUCCGUAUGUAUGAAUUCUGGUUGUGCUCACUGAGCUGAUUUUAUGUGCUACACGGCGCUCAGAAAUCUGUCCAAAACUAUUUUGGUACGACUUUGCUAAGCUAGGAAGCCCCACCGCAUGCUGGAUAGUCGGAGCAUUACGGCUGCUGUAGUCAGGAGUCUGGGUCCUAAACUCCGUCUGCUUCAGGUCCUAAAGUCAAACGAACGCUGCAGCAUCACUGAGAGUUACAAACUGUCUAAAGUCUUCCAUCUGUAAUAAAAUGAUCAGCGUUGCUGCUUUACCAGGUGUAACAAUGAAGUUUAACAUCCAGGCAUCCAUGAAAACAGAUUUAUUAAAUUCAACGGAGGUAGAAGUUAGCAGGAAGUUAGCUCGCUAGCUCAACAUUAAUGAAUCGAUGGUACGGAAGUGGAGGAAGCAAGAAGAAUGAGUUGAGCAGUGUUUGACUUAUCUGACUGUUUGGUUUCACUUCAUGCGCCUUUUAAUCCAGGGUGCCUUAUGUAUGAACAGACCCGUUCAUCGACAGCGCGCCUUAUGGUCCGGAAAAUACAGUACGUCCUCUUACGUCAUCUCCAGCCUCCUCUUGUACCACACCAAUCCAUGAGCAUGGACCUCCUCCCAGGCAGCUCCGUGUCUUUGUUA